This is a long non-coding RNA of Dunckerocampus dactyliophorus (ringed pipefish), 5841 nucleotides long. RefSeq lists it as uncharacterized. The record is from RefSeq and is a predicted model, not a curated record. NCBI's taxonomy places the organism in Eukaryota, Metazoa, Chordata, Actinopteri, Syngnathiformes, Syngnathidae. The transcript is spliced from 5 exons.
GCCUCCUGCUGGCUUUUCUCUGACACAAAAAAAUCAUAACAUGAGUUAUUUGUGGUUUCAACAGUGGAUUUGCGUGAGUGUGUGUUACCCAGCGCAAGUGUCUUCCUCAGAUAGGCGAUGUCGUCAAAGCUCUGCAGUUCAGGCAUCCCACAGCCAAGCAGCAGCGAGAACAAGUUGAUGAAGAGGCUGGCGUGCUGACGGAUUGCCAGGUACGCUUUGUAACACAUCUCCUGGAACCUGAGACGCGGUGAGACAGGUGGGACAAGUGAGAGAUCUCUCCAACUCUGGUUUUGACGGGGGAGGACAGCAGACAGGCACACAGGUGGGACAAGAGAGACCUGUCGAACUCUUUUGUCUUGGUUGACUCCUGGACUCCUUUGCUGAUGACAAUCAGGAAGUCCUGUGUUAGCACGAAAGGAACACGUUCCCGCUUGUAGCCGAACUUCUUCUUCUUGUGGUCCAGGAAAUGACCAAAGUCGAUGUGGAAGAGCUGCAGUAAGUCAGGUCAGAGUUUGUACAGGAAGCUGUGCAGGGGGACAUCAGGAACCGUACACCCACCUGCCCGUUCUCCUUCACCAUGAUGUUAGAGUUGUGGCGGUCACCGAUUCCCAGAAUGAAUGUCGCCACGCAAUAACCUGCACAAGACCUGGUGAACAAGUCGAUGGCUCGAUCGUACCUGAGAGAAAUACGGAGAGACAGGUUACAGGUACCCUGACAGGUCAACAGGAAGACGGGCAGAUACUGACGCCUCUCCACGGUUUUUGUCUUUAAUCCAGUGGUGCAGAGUGUUUGAGUUGAACUGCAGCGCCCCCUUCAGGCCUCCUUUGCACUGAAUCUGCAUGAUAGUGAAACUGUUCUUCACCACCUCGAUGAGACCCACACAGUCUCCAAUGGACAGACAUCCAUAUGGGAGCAUCCUAAGAGACAGACACAUAGAGUACAUACUGUACAGUGAGGCUCAUAUGUGAUGAUGUUUUCACUGAUGAGGUCACUGGUCUCACCGCAGGUCUAGACCUUGGUUCUGCCAGAUGUUCUCCAUGAUCUUGAUGAUCUGCAGUGUCAGCAUGUCCUGCCGCAAGUCUGCAACACAAGAGCCUCAUUACCCACAAUUCCCAGGGGCCCAUUGUGCUGUGACCAUGCUUCUAACACCCCGUAGAAAAGGUUCUACCAUCUCCAUUCUUGAAGAUGAUCUCAUUGUUGGUGAAGAGCAGUUCAGACAUGAUGUCAGGGUUCUCCCAAUUUAACCACAAGGGGCGCUUUGCUGAUGACAUGAUCCUACACUCCUCCAGCCUGGAAACACAUAUCGGUUGGCAGUGUUGAAGUAGGGUGACCACUGUCUUACCGUAGCAUAGCAUUGUUUAUUAGCCUAGCAGAACCAUGGGUGUGUGUCACCUGAGGUGUCCCAGCUGGUGCACUGGGUUCAGAGGAGAGACAAAUCCCUGCAGAGCUUCCAUGUAAUCUGGACGGGACAUAUGUUCAACCAGGAACUUCAUCUGAGUCUGACAACCAAUCACAGAAUUGCAGAGUAUCUGUGAGGUUCACCAGUUUAUCCAUGGCCUCCACCUGCAGAAACACAUGCAGUGGCUUCAUGAUAAUCCGCCAAUCCGUGUGUGAAUGACCAUGCAACAGAGGAGCUCACCUGUCGGUUCAGGUGUUUCAGGUACAUGCCGCAGGCUCUGCAGAAAGCUUCAAGCAGCAGGCCAAAACGACGCGACACCGUCUUGUUGUGCAUUUCAGACCUGUAGACAACACCCCGGAAAUGAUGUGGUGCUUCAUGUGUUCACUUCAAAAGUUAUCUGCCUGCCUUGCUCACUUGAGAUGCCAGAAGAAGAAGUGUCCUAUCCUCUGAUUGGUCAGCGCUUUCUUUAUCAGGAAACGGGCCAGCGGGUUGUCCAGGUACAUCUCAUACUUCAGCACCUGGAAAUACCAUUCCAAAACUUGGCUACAUCCACUUGUGUCCACGGACAGCAACAUACUUCUUCCCGGUGCGCGGAGUGAACCUGGACGAGCUGCAGCAGGUACUGGGACAGCUUGUCGUCCGUCAGACUCUGGACCAGGCAGCGCAGCGCAAACUCUCUUACCACCGGGUCAGGAAAGUUACAGUCCAACAACUCCAGAGCCAGCUCGGGUUCCAUCAGAGGCCACUCCUUCAACAAACAGUACAUCUAAGGGUGGAAGACAUGUGGGCGACGAUGAGUUAAAAAGGGAAAGGUGCUCUGUCACAAAUGUACACUCAUCCCUUGUGUUUGUUUCUCCUACUUGAGAUACUUCAUCUCUGGAAUUCCACUUGACAGAAAGAAGUAACUUCGGAAGAGACUCUGGAAUAUUGACACAGUAAUGUCUGCAAAGAGACAAAAUACAUCUAGACACACUACAGUCAGGAUGACAGAUGUUACUUGGGUCCUCACCUGUGUCUCCACAGGAAGUCCUUCUCUUGUUCAGAGAGUUCAUAGAGAGGAUCUUUACAGCAGAGACAUCGAAGCUGCUCAGCAUCCGCUGCUGAAACGCUGCUGUCACAUGCCAGACGACUGUUCUACAACAGGGAUAGAGACUUUGUCUUUCUGUGUGUUACAAGACUGUGUGUGUGUGUGUGUACACUGUGUGUAUUCUACCAGGCCGUGUGUGUAGUUGAGGCCCAGCUCUCUGCUGAUGGUCCAGUUGGCAUGUUCUUCAAUUUGCUGCUCAUCAGGAAACAUCACCGGCUGGUUGAACCAGGAAAAUUCGAGUUCUACACAAGGCGACUCCUAGAGGUGCAUGCAUCAAGACCAAUUAGUGAACUUAAUUUACUUGUGACGCAGGACGCCGAAACACCUGGUAGUGUACCUUGUUAGGAUUGGAACUGGCCACUCCGAUGGGGUUCAGCAGGUCCUCGAGUCCGUGAGGAACGGGCCACAAACUGAGGGCCACUUUCCCUGACACCAGAAUGUCCUUAUAGUCAAAGAGGUUGACGUUUCCCCAGGCCAGUGGACAAUGUUCCUGACACACAAGUGGACAGAGACUUUAAUUUGCCAUACCUGUAUGAAGGCGUGACAAAGCCGGAGGCGGGAAGCUGUGAGUAGAGACUGUCUUUUGAGACCAGCAUGAGGUGAGGAAGACGACCCACGAUGAUACAGGAGCGGAUGUACUACAGGUGUGCAGACAGGUAGGCAGGUACUCAUCACAGCCACACACCUAAGGAGUAGUAGUGGGUGAGUGAGGCGGUCAUGUGACAGACAGGCGAGAUAAACAUGUUCAAACUGCUGAACUGAUUUUGAUCAUAUCCAGCUUGUAUUCAGCUUAAUCCAUCCAUCCAUUUUCUAUAUCGCUUCUCCUCUUUGAGGGUCGCGGGGACAUGCUGGAGCCUAUCCCAGCUGACUUCGGGCGACAGGCAGGGUACACCCUGGAUUGGUCGCCAGCCAAUCGCAGGGCACAUAGAGACAACCAUUCACACUCACAUUCAUACCUAUGCACAAUUUAGAGUCACCAAUUAACCUCACCUGCAUGUUUUUGGAUGUGUAUUCAGCUUAAUGUGAAGUAAAAACAGCAAAAACUUUUUUUUUUUUUAAACGAGUCUAACCACAUAUGAAAAUGAUUGGAAAUGUGAUUUGAUUUUGUUUUCAGCCUGGAUGCCAUGGUCUGUCCAAGCGGACAUUGGAGCAGGUCACACAUGACCCCGGUGUCUUGUUUGGCACAAUAAAAUCACUGAUUAAAAGAACAACCACAACUUUGACGAUAAUGACAAACCAGUUCCUUCUAGUCAGCACCUAACAACUUACGAGCAUGAGUAUACUGUGGAGUGAGUGAGCGAGCCUGCCAUGUCUUUCACUCGGUGGAUUCUAUUCAGUCUUUCUAUUCAUUUCUUUUAAGAAAGUCCCCCCCGUCAGCUGUCCUUCCAAACCUCCCAUGAAGAACAUCACAAAGACCAUUAGAAGUUUCUUUAAAGCAAAACAAAACAAUGAUGAGUCAAAUAAUAAUAGUAACAAUAAAAAAACAUAAUAAGCAAAUGGCUCUAAACAUGGUGUGUUGUGUGUGUGUGGAAAAAAUCGUUGCAGAGAAAAGAAAGAGAAUAGUGAUUCACAUUUUUUGCAGAAUUGUGCAGCCCUAACAGCGACAUAAAAUUAUGCCACAUGACAGCAUUACGUGUAUGGCUACAUUUGUAUUUUAUUCCCAACUAUUCAUUGGCUUGUUUACAUUCGGCAUUGCAACAUACAGUAUGUACUGACGCCAUACCCGUCAACAUUUACAUUUGGAAAUAAGCGAAACUUUCUGGAAAAUAAGGGACAAUCUGGUCUUUCCACCAGAAUUUCCACUAGCACCACUACACCUAUUCCCUUAUGAGGAACUGGUGGUAACACCAGACUACUUACUGUGGUGCAAUCAUGUUAUUUACUGGCAUGCUUUUGUUUUGAUGGCCUCACUUUACUAGAUACAGGAUGUGUUAAACCGAUGUUGCCCAAAUAAAUAAAAGUUGGGAAACAAUUAUAGGGAAAGAAGCACAAAAUACGUGAGGGACAGGACUGAUGCCUUCGUCAUCAGAAACCCGUGCUAAUUCUGUAGGUCCGACAAGGCAGAGCAGCAGAGCUUCAAUAUCUGAUGUGAUCAACAAAUGUGAUGCAAGGCCAUAUACAGUAGACACGCUGUAGGUCUACCUUCAGGAUGUAUUGGCCCUGAUACUCCUGGACACACAGGCGGAGCUGCUGAGGCGAAAGGUGCAUAGAUCUGCUCUUCUUCCUGAUGGACUCUGCUAUCAGCUGCUCAGGAAGGCUGUCAUGGCUCACCUGUGGAGAAAAGAAUAUUCAUUUGACAGUCCUACUGGAAGUAUCUCCAUGGCAAAAUCUGCAUGACAAUGAAAGUGCUUGCGGGGUCUAGAACCUUUGUCCAGCUUGCUGUAGAUGUGCUGUGGGAGUUGAGGGCUGGACUCCACAUUUGGGGGAUAAACAUAGAGCGCUUGGCUGUGGGCGCCGCCCCCCUCCCGCUCCUCCAUGGCCUCUCUGCACACACUCAGUAUGGCACGACGGAAAUCCUGGACCUCAGGGUCCUUCAUCAUCUCAAACUCACAGACUGGCAUCCCGAUGGCAAAUCCUGCUCACAUGGAAUUUUAGGCGGACUAUACGACUCCUUAUUCUGACUAGUGCUUCAUUUGCACAACCUCUUACCAAUCUCCCGAUUCAAGAUCUUCUCCUCACGGUUUCCCAGGGGCUCGAUCACCUUAAGAAUGGGGUGAAACAGUCGAAGGUCACAUAGCCGCCUCGUUUCGUCAUAAAAUUCCUCCCGUUCUGCUUCCUGGGUCACACCUACAAAGAUGUAGCUGGACUCCUCCUGUUUAGCCGCAGAGCAGAGGUUAUGAUCUGCAGCAGGUGCUGAGGGUUCAUGGGUCAGCCGUACCUGCAGAAGGUGGUAGAGUGGAUACUUCCUGGCCUCGGUGAAAAGCUGCUGUUUGAUACUGAUGAGAGGAGUCUCUCGAAGACACUCCAGACUCACCAUCAUCCCUGCACACAUGACAAGGAGCUCAUUUGAGCGUUGCGUUCUAGAAGACAAGGACACCAGAGAACAGGAAUGACAUCAGCAGCCGUCAAACAUUUCCAGAACGACCUUGUACCAUUGGGAAGGCAGCAGUCCACCAGGAUGCGUGGGGGCAUCAGAUGGAGACCCCAUAGUUCCCCUGACGACGGUCUGGGAGCCAUGAUAACUGCCUCAACUCAGGCUCCUGGGGACAGACAGGUGGACGCAUUAAUAUCAUGGUCUCCACUUUAAUGUGGACCCUUUUGAGGCUUAUAGCAUGGAAAUAAAGUUUCCUGAAACCUAAAUGUUACAUGAAGACGUGUUUCUUCAUUCCUUCAGCUUCCAUUCUUGUCUUCACAU